GGGGCAUAAUUUAUUAUUUGAAAGUCCUUGAGCUAAGUCUUACCUUUAAGGCAAGAGUUGUAGAGCAUCCCAUAAAUGAAGACAUAUCGUGGUAGUGUCAACUCUUGCCCGUGAGGCAUAAUUUGUAGUUUGAAAGUCCUUGAGCUAAGUCUUGCCUCUAAGACAAUAGUUGUAGAACAUCUCAUAAAUGAAAACAUAAAGUGGU
Molecule: long non-coding RNA, 205 nt
Filed under: Capsicum annuum
Lineage: Eukaryota; Viridiplantae; Streptophyta; Magnoliopsida; Solanales; Solanaceae
Description: long non-coding RNA (CANN_LNC011400)
Source: RNAcentral